GAUUGUUUAGUGAUUAUAGUGUUAUCUUAUUCUCGUAAAGGAUUUGGACGAGACGUGUAUGCCCGAAGACGUUCAGAAAGUCACGUGGUGUUACAAAGCGAAUAAGGGAUGAAUCGAGUAAGCGAAGCGAAGUGGCGAAUAGAGUAUAGCUAGAGAUGGUCUAGAGAUUACGAGAUGCAUUGAUUGUGAAAGUUGAAAGAUGAGAUAGAGAUGUGAGACUGGAGUCAGAUUUAAGGCAAGUAUCCUGCACCCUGCUUUUGGAUAUAUUGCAAAUAUUCUGAUUCAUUCUUUUGAUGUGUUGCAAGUAUCCUAAACCUUUCUUUUGGAUAUCUUGCAAUUAUUCUGAUCCAUUCUUUUCGUAUGUGUUGCAAAUAUUCGUUCCUCUCUUUUUCAUAUUUGAAAGUGUAAAUAUUUUAUCCAUCCUUUUCUAAUCUUCAAAAAAAAAAAAAUUCAGAUAAUUCCAGUUUACAAAUUAAUUCGAAGUUCAGAUUGUCAUUGAAGCAUGUGUUGCUCAGUGAUGGUUAGGACCUAGAAUGACUUGGGAUCUUCUUGAUUAUUCAACCCGCCAUUGUCAUGCUGGUUUAGCAGGCUAAAUUCAGUUGCUUAGCCGAUAAUGGAGGAUACUGAAUAGUUAAGGAUUUCCUGAACUAUGAUUUAUGAAAGGAUGGAUCGUGGCUUAUGAAAAGAUGAAUUGAAAAUUAUUCUGUUGUUGAUGAUAUUUAUGAUGAUGUUCUGUUAAUUUACAUUGGCUUCUUGAAUUGAAUUAGAGAAUUGGAUUAUUGUUUUUAUAUAAACCUGUGGACCAGAUUCGUGGUCAUGUUAGGCCAAUGAGUGCCUUGGAUCCAGUGAUAGAGCAUGGCGGGGCCUGCUCGGGGUUAGUGCGGAACUGAUCAGCUGCCUAACCUUGGUUUUAAUUAAAAUGUGAUAGUCCAAUUCAAUAAUUCUUUGGAAAGAUUGAAUUUCUCAGUUUAAAUGCUGCAAGGUAUUGUAAAUCAUUCUAUACAAUACCAUGAACUCAUGAACUCAGGUUGAAUCCUCUUAUAUCUUGAACUCGUGAACUUCUGUUAUAUCAUUUCAGAACUAUCAUUGUUUAUUAUUACUUGCUGAGCAUUGUUGCUCACCCUUGCUAUUCCUUUCUAACCAUUUCAGAAAGGCUUAAAGAUGAGAUGAUUGAUUGAGAUUGUGAAUAAGGCUAAUGCUAGGCGAGGAGACAGAGUUGAGAAUCCAGUGGUCGAGGAGUGUUCAGGAAAGUUGAUGAGGUUGGUGCAAGCUAGAGUUGAGCUAUGGAAAUUCAGAUGUAAGUCAUAGCUGGAAUAGAUUGACAGUGAUUCUUCUUAUCGAAGAUGAUCUGAUUUGGUAAGAGAUGUUGUGUAAUAAUAGUGGUUGAUUCUAAUUUCAAUACUGUAACCUGGAAGCGAUCCUGUUGGUUUGGGGGUGAAGAUGUUCUCUUUUAAAUCUUUUAUUUAACGUCUUUCAAAUCUUUUAUUAAAUGUUUUCAAGUUUUAAAUUAUUUGGAUUCAUUAUCU
Molecule: long non-coding RNA, 1526 nt
Filed under: Daucus carota (carrot)
Lineage: Eukaryota; Viridiplantae; Streptophyta; Magnoliopsida; Apiales; Apiaceae
Description: long non-coding RNA (DCAR_LNC005517)
Source: RNAcentral